Long non-coding RNA from Sorghum bicolor (sorghum), 1543 nucleotides. RefSeq lists it as uncharacterized. The record is from RefSeq and is a predicted model, not a curated record. NCBI's taxonomy places the organism in Eukaryota, Viridiplantae, Streptophyta, Magnoliopsida, Poales, Poaceae. The transcript has 2 exons.
AAGACCAACGGCCUGCCUCCUCCGCGUUGCAUGCGGGCGUCUGACGGUUACCUGUUCUCUCUCCCGUCGCCUGCCCUCAUCCUCCACAGAAAAAAAGAUCGAGCACCCAUGUCUGCGGUCUGCCUACUCCGCCCAUGCCCACGGCCGCCCCUGACGCAAUAGCUCAGCCCCGCGCGCCCUUGCACACGGAUUCGACCACGCCCAACCUCUCGUGCUCCAACUGCCUACCGCCCAUGGAGGCGCACCCCUUCCGGUGGUGGGAGGACGAGCUGAGAGCUCGUGUCCAUCAAUACUGCAUAUGCAGAGCUGGAGGUGGAUGAGGCCGACGACGAUGAGCCACCCUGGUUCCACCCGCCCCCGCUGCAAUAGCUCCAUCCCGCCCUUGCACACGGACCCGGCCUCCGCUCCCCGCCCUCGCUCCUCGCCCUUCGCCGCGGCUGACGAGGCACGGAUCCUUCCCAGUUCCCACCCGUAAUCCACACUCCACAGCAGCAGCCAACAGCGAGCGGCGGCUGACGAGGCGUUCAAGAUUUAGGUACGAACUCCUGAAUCCAAGUGCUCAGCUGAAAUGGUUGUCCCUGAAUAAGGAUAAGGACCGGUAUGCAUCAGUAGUACAAGCCAUUCAUGCUAAAUGAGAACUUAAGAGCCUGCUAAUUAUUGGAUCAUGAGUGAGAAGAAGGUACCCGGAGUUGUGUUAGUUGUUUAUUUCGGUUAUCCGAUAAAAUUCUAUAGUUAUAAUAAAUACGUUAGAUAGUAUCAUAAGAGUUCUCUUCAUAUGUCAUCUUGGUAUCCAUCUGUAGAUAAGAGCUGGCCUGUUUAGAGCACCAAUGCUAAGUGGGUUGCAGGGUGUAACUUUUGCCCAUGGUUUAUCUUAGCCAGCUUUGGUUGUUCACAAUUUGAUGGAACAAGUAUCUUGUGUUGCCACCAGUACUCUGUCAUGUCUGGCAUGCAUCACUGCCAUAGUGUAUAUCGGUUUUGUUCACUUAUCGGCUUUGCUAAUGAUUCAAUGGACCGUGAGUUACUUGCUUAUUGGUACAAUUUUACAAAAUAAUGGUAAACUCUGUUAGGUCAUUGUUACCAACUGUCUUUGUUGAUGUCUUGUGCAGUAAAAGCCCAGUAAGGGAUCACUACUCCUGUUUCCCUCGAAAAAAAUCACUGUCGCCCUUAGCAAUCCAUAUGAAAAACUUAUUCGCUGACCCAAUACGCAUGCUUGGUUUCUAGGUUUGAUGUUUCUCAGUAUUCCCUUCUAGAGCCGCAGAACAUAAAUUUUUGUUCUUUGUAAUGUCGUGGGUAUCUUCUUCACAGGUGCCUGGAUGGAGUGGACUGUCAAACACACAAGUUUCAACAUUUGGUGAUGUUUACCCUUAAACAGAUGAACAACAGUUUUCUAUUUAAUCUCCUUUUGCUGCUUGAUUUUGUAAUCAAUUAGGUAAUUAGUUUUCUCUUGACUACAUGCAUUUUUAGCCAUAUGAGAGGGUUCUGGUUGAUUUCCGAAUCCUGUUGUAAUUUCAGAAUCCUAUUGUGAAGCAACUAUUCUUUGGUA